This 324-nucleotide ribosomal RNA is filed under the name Pseudomonas sp. AB_9. RNAcentral's name for it is "bacterial SSU rRNA". It matches the Rfam family "Bacterial small subunit ribosomal RNA", at positions 240 to 556 of the family's 1533-position model. The record is from RNAcentral. Lineage: Bacteria; Pseudomonadati; Pseudomonadota; Gammaproteobacteria; Pseudomonadales; Pseudomonadaceae.
AUUAGCUAGUUGGUGAGGUAAUGGCUCACCAAGGCGACGAUCCGUAACUGGUCUGAGAGGAUGAUCAGUCACACUGGAACUGAGACACGGUCCAGACUCCUACGGGAGGCAGCAGUGGGGAAUAUUGGACAAUGGGCGAAAGCCUGAUCCAGCCAUGCCGCGUGUGUGAAGAAGGUCUUCGGAUUGUAAAGCACUUUAAGUUGGGAGGAAGGGCAUUAACCUAAUACGUUAGUGUUUUGACGUUACCGACAGAAUAAGCACCGGCUAACUCUGUGCCAGCAGCCGCGGUAAUACAGAGGGUGCAAGCGUUAAUCGGAAUUACUG